UGCAGACAUGGCUUGGAUCCUGCAUUGCUAUGUCCAUGGCACAGGAUGGCAGCUAUAGCUCCAAUUCGAUCCCUAGCCUAGGAACUUCCAUAUGCCGUGGGUGCUGCCCUAAAACGACCAAAAAUAAAUAAAUAAAUAAAUAAAUAAAUAAAUAAAUAAAUAAACAAAUAAAUAUAAAAUUUCAUAGUGAUCUGGACAGACUGUAACAGAAAGUACCAUUUCUCCUAGCCUCAACCUACACUUAAUAUGGAGUGCUCAAAGGUAAUUUCAAUUUUCCUCUGAUAGUUUUGUUUCCCUCCAAGGAUAGGAGAUAUUUACUAAAGAAAUAUUUUUUUACUGUUAAGUGAUAUCUUAACACAUAAAACCAUCUUGUUAAAAAAAUCAUUUUUGAAAAAAAAAGUCUUCUAAGAGUGUGUUAAAAUGUCAUUUUUCCUGUUUUGGUGUAUGGACUGUCAAGAUAGCAUUGACUCAAUGGCUUCAAGGAGUUCAUUACAAACAUCAAGCAAAGGAUGUACAUAAUAUAAGACUCUCAAAUGUUGAAACAUUUUCCUAAAUUUUCAAAAUUUUUAUGAUUUUCUACCUGAUUUUUCACCCAAAGCAAAGUGGAAAUAAUGAGAUUUUAAUUGAGUUUUUUUCAAUAAGCUGAAAGGUCUCAGUAUUCUUGGCUUUUCCAGUCAAUCCACCUUCUAAAUCUUUGCGGCCAUUUCACUAUUGCCCCUUUUGUUGCAAUAAGUAGGUGACAAUGCCUACAUUAUUGUUCCGUUUGUAUAAACUGAGUGCACACCCUACUUUUCACUUCUUCCACACACUAGUUAAAAUUUGAAGCCAACUAAAGUCCACUAGGGAAAAAGAAGUAAAAGAACCUCUAUGUCUAAAUAAUUUCAGGCUAUCUGGCAUCUUUUUUCCUUUUUGGUUUGCAGAUUUUGAGUCAUAAAAAUUCUAGAUAGUUUUGGGACAAAUCUGUGUAUUUUAACUUUUUUCUCCCAAAACUAAAAAAGGCAACUGGAACAAAAAGAAAUGUCUCUGUCCCAAAUGAAAAGAUCAUUUAAGGACAAGGUAAGGACUAACAAAGGAGAAGAAAAAGAGAUCAAUCAGUCCAUUAACAUAGAAGGAGCAAGUAAAAUAAUGUGCCACAAUGAACAUGCCACAAGGGAACAGAGGGGAAGACCUCUCUGUUAACACAGAAUAGAGCAAGCAUCUUGACACCAGAAUACACUGAGAUGAGAAGAAAUGAAUAGAUCAUGUCUCUACUCCUAACCUUAACUAUACACAAAACCCUAAUCAUAAUUCCUUACACAAUAACCCCUCGUUCUAACCCCAACAGAAAUGCCAGCUUCCUGAAUUGGAACACUGAUUUCCCAAACAGAUGUCAGACAUUAGCCACUGGCCUUAGCUGCCAUCAAUAUUAAUCAGCUAAUCUUAACAUUAGCAAAACAUAUGCAUCUUAAGGCUGAACUUGUGCUACUAUUAUGUGGAGGAUAAUUAUUAGCAAAUUCAAAUAAUUAGGAUGAUGUCAGCACAUAUAUUGCCAAUUACAAUAAUCUUUUAAAAAAGUAAACACAGAUGUCUCUCCUUGUUUUAUUAAGGACAUCAUUGUCACUUAGAGUUUAAAGGCUUGAAUUUCCCAAAUACAUGGUAAUAACUUGUGAAACAUUUCUUUCCCUUAAUCAGUAAGAAGAGACUUUUUUUAAACUAUUACUUAUCUUUUAUAAUCAAGAGGCUCUUGUUACUAAUUUAUUAGUGGUUAUUACUUAUGUAUAAAGGUUCCUAAAAAUUAUAGCACUAUAGCAAGAAUACAUUCAUUGGCAUAAAAUUUGCCAAACCUUUUUUGUAUCAAUUGGGUUUUUCUAACCUUUUGUUGGUAGCUGGACAAAUGAAAAUAAAAACUGUUCUAAAAACUUGUAAGUAAAAUAUUUUUUAAAAAUGAAAUCAUUUUGUGAUACAAAAAUGGAAAUUUUCAUUUUUCUUCAUUUUGACAUCAAAGUGGCCUAAAUUCUGCCUUUUGUCUGGUCUAGCAUGUCUGAGUCUAUAAGAGAGAGGUCUGUCAAACCCAUUAAAUUUUGCGAUUUUUCAUCCCUUCAUACACCACAACAUAUAUCUCCAUGGACAAUUAAACAUUAACAAGCACUUUUGUGGUUAUUGCUGUUAAGGGCAACAACAAUCACAGUAAAUUAUUUCCUCUAGUGAUGCACAUGAGUCAGAUCCUGGUGCGAUUCUCAGAUACAACCCUUAGGGGCUGGACUAAAGAAAUAGCCUUUGUUUUCUGGAAGUUCAGAAUGGAAUGAAAUCACAGUUAUACUCAUUCACACAGCAAAUACGCACUGAAUGCCUACUGUGUGCUAUGCACUGUGCUAGGCUCUGGGGCUAUACCAUUUAUCAGGACAAAGUUCCUGCCUUUACAGGACUUAGCCUAUAUACAGAGUACAAAUUAGAUAUAAAUGCAGUCCUGAUAUCUAUUAUUCUGAAUAUCAGUUCUACACACUUGUGAACCAGUCUGUAUUAGGAAUAAUACAAGAAAAAAGCAGGUGUAGAAGGGGUGUGAACAAAGCUUUUACAUUGGGAAGCAAAAAGGAAGGAAGGAGCUAACAGCUCAGAAUGGAAAAUAAAAGGAUAGAAAAGAUGAUGGUGGUAAAAUAGUGUAUAUUCAUGCAUCUUUUCCAGGCACAGAGGAAUCUGCUCAAAUCAGAACAAGAUUUUGGAAUAAAAUGAAGGUCAAGUUAUAAGAGAAAGGACAGAGUGAGGAGGCACUGGGUUUCUCUGCCACAAUGAAGUUUUGGGCCUCCCAUGGUUUUCACUUAUGCUAAAAAUGCAGCCUCAAUUACCAGAGUGAUAAUUGAGAAUUGGUUUUAUCUAUAAGCAUUGCAAGAGUCAUUAAGAAUGGUCAUAGUCACAGGAUGGUAGCAAUAUUAAUUUUAGUCCCACGAAUACAGCAAAAGCAAAUGGGCUAUCUAUAGAGUAGGUCACCUACAUCUCCGUAGGCAGAAUUUUUAUAAGUGAAAUAGACAUUGUGGCUUUGGCACUACUUUAUUCUGUUUCCUUUGUAUAAGGAAUAUGACUUCAAAUUAGAGUACAAAGAUGGUAAGAGAAAGGAAACUUUGGGAUUUCCCAGGCAAUAAGAAAGCACAGGCUUAUGUAACACUGUACCAAUUUAUUACACAUAUGCCAGUAAAUUUUCUACUCCUGAGGUAUUUUCAUUUGUAACAUGCAUAAUGUUUACACAUAUUUAUGAACUUUUACUCCCAAACUUAUAGCCCUCCCUUGAGGAAAAAUACUUAGAAUAUUUGUCUGCUUGUAUAACUAUUUUGAUGUAUCAAAUAUAUACUAAUAAGUGUAUACCUAUAAUGGCAGAUUUUUAUAUGUCAUGCUGGGUUAUAUGGACAUUAACCAAAAGACCUAAAUCAAGUUAGGAUUCAGAAGUUCUUUUUAGAAAAAUAAAGAAUAAAGUGAUCUAACUUAGGUUUUCUGAAAAGUGCACAUUCAUCAUACCAAUGUUCUCAUAAAAGUGCCAGACUAAGGAUGCUGAGAAAUUCUAAUCUUACAAGGACAAAAGGAAUAUCCAGACCUGUUUCUGCUUUCUGCAUUCUUUCUGAAAUAUUUCACAAUUAUCUGUGUAUGCCUUUCAAGAAUACAAGUAUACAGAGUUACCUGGCAGCAGAUGUGUUCAAAUAAAAGAUGGCAAACCACCUACUACCAGGGCAUAUGGAGAAUGACUUCUUGACUCACUACAACACAUUUAAGAACCAGAAAAUAAAAAUACUCUUUUGACUUUUAAUAUCUUCAGGAUAGAGAAAAAUAAUCACUUCAAAAUACUUUCUAGUGGCAUGGAAACAUGAUCUAUAUAGCCUACAAGUAGAUAAAGAAGGAUUUGGGGGAAACAAUUAAGUGUAAACAGCCUGCCAAAUCUGGUAAGUUGACUCCAAGAAAGGCUAACAGAACUGAACUGGUAAAUAAGAACUGUCCAUCUGUCUGUGCCACCCAGCCAGAUCAAAAGAAGAGCCUGACCUGAUUCCCAUUGCACCUCUGCCUUUUCUAUCUUUUGCAUUAAAAACACAGCAACUCUGUUAAGCAGACAUCUAAAUAUUCCAUGGGUACUUCAUUUUGCAGCACUCAUUCAUAGAUUUACUCAACAUAUAUCUAAUGAGUACUAAUUAUGUGCCUGACACUGUGCUAGACCACAGGUAUGGAGUGAUUAAGACAGCCACACAUCUUCCCUUCUUGGACGUUACAGUUAACAGAGUUAACAAAAUAUAUUUCUAGCAAAACAUGGUUGAAUGCCUAUGUGAAUUUAUCUCAUUGUUCUUCUCAGGCUCCACUAAAAUGAUGGUAAAUUAUUAUAAACCUGAAAACAGAAAAUAAGAGACUAGGAAAUGGCAGACAACAUCUUUCUUCUUGUUGGAAGACAGAAGGCAAGUGAAGGAGUAAUAACUGGGUUUUAAAAAGCAUAAGAAGUAUAGACAUAAAUGCCUGUGGUGCAAAGGAAGCCAAGGGUCAGCCUCUACUCUUGGAGGAAAUUGAGCUGGAGAUACUCACUCAUGUUCACUGGCCCAGCUGAGGGCAGAUUUCAGAAGCAGGGCUGAAAACAGAGAUAAACUGUGCAGCUACAUUUUGAACUGCAGAAUGUUAGUUUGCAUUCCCUAACCUACCAGAAUCCUGGUAACCAGGCAGAAUUCCCCCUCACUAAUACUUUAUCAACCUCACCCACUCUAACCAAAAUACACCAGGAGGUGAACUGAGAGAGAUUAUUUGACAAGAAACUGUCACAUGGGAAACAAAAAAAUAAAUAAAUAAAAACAGACUUAAAAGGAAUUUGAGUACUCUCAAUGGAAAGGAUGAUACAAUUUGGUAUUCUACCAAAAAGCUCCACCAACCUAAAGACCCAACUCAUCAAACGAUAUUUCCAUCAGAAAAAUGCCCAACAUGAAAGAAAAAGCCCAAAUUUUUUAAAAAAAGGAAACUGAAUUAAAAAACCCAAACACAAAGAAUGAAAAUUCAUAGAUAGAUCCUCAUUGUCCCCAGAAGAUGAAAAUGAAACUAUAAAAUAAAAACAUGACUUGAUAAGACAUAUUCAAAUAAGAAGGAAUACUGGAAAAAUUAAAGAUAAAACUGAUCAAAUUCUUAAAAUUUAGUAGUAAGUUUUGAAGAUAGUCAAGAAAAAGCCAGAAAGAAAAGUAAAAUAUAUGAGAAUGGAGAAAUCAAUUGAGAACAUAUAACAUUAAAUAUGACAGGAAUUAUUAAAAAGAGCAAAUAAACAAAACAGAAUGGACUGGUUACACAAGACAAAAAAAUAAUAAUGUUUAAGACAAUUCCUGGAAAUAAAGAAUUUAUAUCUCCAGAAUAAAUGGGCCUCUCAUGAACUCAACACAAUAAAUUGGAAAAGAUUCCUGAGAAUGUCCAUCAUUGUGAAAGUUCAAAGCCUCAAAUUUAAAGGGAAGUUUCCAAAAUGUUCCACAGAGGAAAAAGAAAAAAGUAUGCUCUUGAACAAAUGAACAUUCUGAGGAAAAACAAUUUUUAACCUAAACUUUCUGUGUUUUUCAAGUACUUUCACAAUAACUUCCCAUUACAAACUAUGCCAUAAUUCAAGGUCUUACAAAAACAAGUAUUUCUUUUUCAUCUAUGCUUCUGCAUAUUGUUUAAGGUUAAGCUCCUCUAAGCUAGGCUAAACUGGAGUGGUCUCAUAUGUUUCUCAAUUUUGAGAAGAUAAGGCCAACCAAGGUAUGUUCUUCUCAAGGAAAUACAAGAUAAGUUCAUGCUAUAAGCAAGUUGAAGUCCUUUUCUCGAGUCAUAUCUGCUAAAACACCAUUGGCCAAAGCAAGGCAUUAGAUCAGGUCCUGAAUUAAUGAUAGAGAAAAAAACAACCUCUAAUGGGAGGAACUGCAAAGUUAUGCACCCAUGCACUGUAGGCUCGAGUACAGAGAGGUAUGAAGAACUGCAGACAACAGUGCACUUUCUUACCAGCUGAAAUAGGAAGGCAUGAGUGUGCUUAAAAAUUUACCUCUUUUCAUCUCUAAAUACUAGCUUUCAAAGUGUAGUUCCAUAAUCAGCAGCAUCACAUGGAACUGGCUAAAUAGGCAAAUUCACCCUCCCUACUCCAGAAAUAAGGAAGCAGAAACCAGGCGUAGAACCUAGGAAUCUGUGUUUUAUAUAUACCUCCAUGUGAUUCUGAGACACACUAAAUAUUGAGAAACUAUGCUAGAAGAUGUGUUUCCAGCAAACUUAAAGAAGAGGCGGGAUUCAGAAAGGGGAGGAUACAAGAUGUGAGAGAGGUGAAAGACACACAAAUAACUUCUCUGCAUCAGACCUAGACUCCAACCAAUACAUAUUGGAAACAGUUGGGCAAAAAGAUACCUACGAAGAGGAAAUCUGGUAGAAUGAGAGAUAGAUUGAUGCAUUUGAAGAAAAAACACUCAUUUAUAUAUAGAAAAAUAAUGUAAUGAAGCAAUUAUUCAGUGUGUAUGAGAGAUGAAGAGAGAUAAUGGGAGAAAAAAGGUAUUCAAGGCACAUCACAUGAUUUGGAAGUGAAUUGCAGUUACAGUUUUCAUGAGAAUCAAUUCUGUUUAUAUACUAAUAAAUUUAGGGAUAUCUAAGUCCAAAAGACAAGAGAUAGUAAAGCAGAGAUGGAGUAUAGGUUGGGAGCUAUGGUAACAGGAGAUCAGCAGCAACUUAAAUUAGUAAAUAAAGUAACCAAACUAUAACCCUAUUGUUUUAAAAAGAUGUAAGUAAAUUCU
Molecule: long non-coding RNA, 6725 nt
Filed under: Sus scrofa (pig)
Lineage: Eukaryota; Metazoa; Chordata; Mammalia; Artiodactyla; Suidae
Description: lncRNA (ENSSSCG00000062262.1)
Source: RNAcentral